GGUCAGUGAUGUGAUGUAAAAGGUCUGAACCUCAGACCCCCCCCCCCAAGCUGAGACUUUGGCUCCCAGCAGCCCCUGCUCUCACUCCCAUCAUGCGCUAGUGUUGCAAUGGUGGUUCCAGCAGCUGCUAACAGACAGGAAUGACAUCACUGUUUGAGUCUGUUCAGAGAGUCCAUUGGCUCAGUGUGAUUGACAUCCAACAGAACCAGUCAGCAUGGAGCAUCAGGCUGAGGGGCGGGGCUGGAGAACUGAUCUCACUCUUUUACUGAGACC
RNAcentral lists this small nucleolar RNA (273 nucleotides) under Anabas testudineus (climbing perch). RNAcentral's name for it is "Small Cajal body specific RNA 6 (ENSATEG00000019467.2)". It matches the Rfam family "Small Cajal body specific RNA 6". Rfam says of the family: U88 is small Cajal body specific RNA (scaRNA). scaRNAs are a novel class of small nuclear RNAs which localise to the Cajal bodies. U88 is found associated with both fibrillarin and Gar1p and co-localises with coilin in Cajal bodies. The record is from Rfam by way of RNAcentral. Lineage: Eukaryota; Metazoa; Chordata; Actinopteri; Anabantiformes; Anabantidae.